UCAUAUGUACAUUCCUACAAUGGUAAUGCCUCAUAUGGCAUUAUAAAUCUACAAUUAAACUCACUUGGGAAAGAGUAGUACUAGGAUGGGUGACCUCCUGGGAUGUCCUAGUGUUUUACAUGCC
Molecule: non-coding RNA, 124 nt
Organism: Picea glauca (white spruce)
Lineage: Eukaryota; Viridiplantae; Streptophyta; Pinopsida; Pinales; Pinaceae
Source: Rfam